AAAAAUUGGUUUCAUAUUACCAAUGAAAAGGACUAACUGCAGCUAUUUUGAGAGCUAUAAUACCUCCUUUAAGCCACAAAGAUACUUUACCUUAACAACUAAUGUAUUCUCCUGAUCACUUACAGUAUGAAAUACUGAACAGUAAGGACACUGCAAACACUUGGAAUCCUCUUACAUAAUAUAAAGGCAGUCUGAAAAUCCCAUUAUAUACAAAUACCUGCAGACUCUUCCUUCAAAUACAAAAUGCGAAAGUAAAUAUUGCCACCAUUCCUCAAGUUUUGAAAAUAAUUUUGUUUGUGUCCUUAACAGUAUUUUUGUCUAAAAAGGGAGAAAAGGAAAUUCUUAUGGGUAGUUUUCCGAAGAGAGAAAAGAGAAGAGGAUAAAUUGUAUUUGUGGCUCAUGAAAGAUCCCGCAUUGCUCACCUUGGCUAGCAGCAAGUAUUGGAGAAGUGGUAAGAGAGGUGAGAGGCGCCAGGGAGGAGCCGGGAGUUGCCGAUAAAAAAGUCCUCUACUGUACAUACUUCUCAGAGGUCAGAAGUUCAAUUAUACAUUCCUUUGUAGCCCCAGGUUCAAAUCUAAAAAUCUCUUGCAGAUGCUCAAUGAUUAACAAACAGGGAAACAGAAUAUUUUGGUUUAUUUGCUAGGCAGAAAAAUUUGAUAAACUUUAGGAUUCCUGCGAUUUUGUGAAGUUUUAAAUGAAGAAUCAACUACUGUUAGCCCAAUUGGAGUCCAAACAUAACUAUUUUAGAGUAGAGCAAGAGAAAGUAGGAGACAAGAACAUAUUAGCUUAAAACCUAGGACACCAAAAUGAAGGUAAAAUUUAUGCAUAACAUCAAAUUAAAGGAAAAAUGCACAGAGGCAAAGGGAGUAUAAAUGAGUAAAAAUUACUUUAGAAAAUUGUUUGACAGCAUCCGCUAAACUUGAACGUACAUGCUUCCUGUCAGCCGGCAAUUCCACUACUAGGCAUUCAAUAGUGCAUAGUAGAACACUACCCAUUAAAUGAGGGGAGGUUGGUAAAAGGGUACAACCUUUCCAUUAUAAGAUGAAUGAGGGGAAGAUCUAAUAUAUAACAUGGUGACUAUAGUUGAUAACACUGUAUUCUAUCAUUGAAAUUUGUAAAAAACAGAACAUAAAUGUUCUCACACAAAAAAGUGAGAAGUGAGGUGAUAGAUGGGAGAAAACUCACAAUGUAUAUAUACAUCAAAUCAUCAUUUUGUGUACUUUAAAUAUCUUACAAUUUUAUUUGUCAAUUAUACUUCAAUUAAGCUGGAAAAAAAACACUGCAUGUUGGGUACCUACUUACACAAACAGUAAGAACAGUGAACUUUUUAAAUCUUUUUUCUUCCCAACAGAAAUAUAUACAUAUGUGCACCAAAAGAUGUGUAAAAGAAUCUUCAGAAUAGCAUUAUUCUUAAUGCAAAAAAUUGGAAACAACUCAAAUGUCCAACAGCUGUAGAAUGGAUGAUAAAUUAGUAGUUUAUUCAUGCAAUGGGAUACUGUACAGAAAUGAAAAUAAAACCAUAGGUAUGUCCAAUAUCAUAGAUAAAACAAGAGAGCAUAUACUUUGGGAUGUCUGGGAGGCUCAGGUGGUUAAAUACCUACUCUUGAUCUCAGCUCAGGUCUUGAUCUCAGGGUCAUGAGUUCAAGCCCCAUGUUAAGCUCUGUGCUGAGCAUAGAGCCUACUUUAAAAAAAAAAAAAGGCACAUAUACUGAACAAAAUAAGUCAAAUUCAAAGGAGCACAUGUUGUAUGUUCUGGACAGUAUGAAGUAGGAAAGCAGGCAAAACAAUCUAGUGAGGAUAGUGGUUACUCUGGGGGAGGAGAGUGGAGUAUGUUGAGAGAAAGGAUAAAUGGGACUAUGGGGAUGCUGGUAUUGUUCUAAUCCCAAACAUAGGUGUUAGUUACACAAUGUCUUUAUUUUGUGCCAGUGCAUUCACUGAUAAAUGCUUAGGAUUUGCAUACUUUCUUUUCAGUAGCAAAAGCAAGUUAAAAGAAGAAAGAUACAGAUGUGUAAAAUCUCCUAUAGUAAACUGUGCUUUUGACCUUUCCAAUUCAAAUGCAGUUGGAAUUAUUGCCUCAUGUAAACGGUAACCAAAGGUGUGUGAUGUGGGAGACUGCACCAUGGCCAUUUCUCUAAUCCCUUUCCUGGUGCCACUUAUCAUUAAGAGGUAUAUUCUUAUUACUGCACUGUUGAAACCAAAUGAGAUACCCAACACUGAAGCUGAGUUUUUAAUCUGAAUCCUAAUUCAAAUUUUGGCCUGCUCGCAAUAGGAAUCUAUUUUUACACCUCUGUGAGAGGUUUGCAUGUGGGUAUAUGACUUGCUUUGGCCAACAGAUCAUUAGCACACAUGAUGCACAGGGAAGCUUGAAGAGUCUUAUGCAUUGGGGCUUGUCCUCUCUGAUGCUAGAAAUCUUUCCUUUACCAAGUGCAUGAGCCCAUGCUAAGCUUGCUGGAUCAUGAGUGGCUGUGGCCAUGCCAUUAGCUGACACCGAGCCAAUUGCCACAUAUAAAAAAAAGCACCCGCACCCCUCCAGACCAAACUGGCUGCCAAGCACCAAAUGGGAGUGGGCCCAUUAAGUCAUUGGAUUUAGAGUAGUUUGCUACACAACAAAAGCUAACUGAUAUGCACAGUAAUGACCCCUGAACUUUUUGCACAGCAAUUAAUAUAAUACCUACCACAUAAAACUAAUAUGCACUUAACAGAUGUUCUUAAUAAUGAUGGAGAUUUCUUCUCAUUCUUCCUUUCCCCCUGAAUAGUUUCACAACAUAAACGUAAUUAUUAAAUAUUUUCAAUGUUUGUUACAUUAUUUUUAUCACUGUUGAGUUUGUUUUGUUUUGUUUUCCUAAACCGGCUUCUUUGAAAUCUUCAGGAAUAACCUUCAGAUAUGUUAGUUACAGUUUUACUCCCACAAACCAUGCUGAUUAGUUAACUGUCUAUUUGGAAAACAAUAGUCAAAACUGUUCUUCAGCACUUCAUGAUUUUAUUUUUUUUGAAGAAAUAUAUUCCUGUCAGAGAAAUUGAACAAGUUUACUGUGGAAGGUUGUGGAAUCUACUUUGGAAGAAAGAUUUCUCUCCUCUUUGGACACAUCUAAAGGUGGGGAAGAGGCAGAAGGAGAGCAUGAGCAGGAAUCUCAAGCAGGAUCCAUCCAGCACAGACCAACAGGGCAUUCAGUCUAACCAUGAGAUCAUGACCUGAAUGGAAAUAAAGAGUCAGAGGCUUAACCAACUGAGUCACACAGGCACCCUGUAGAUUCUACAUAUUAUCCUUGGAAACCACCACUGUUUCUACAAAUUUGAUUAUUGCAGGUGCCUCACAGUCCCUUGUCCCUUGGAUUCUUGGACCCAGUUGGAUGAAGCGCAAUCUGGAAGAGACAGGUCCUUAUAUGAAAGAUAAACUACUGGAGGGGUUUGGAAUAUGAAUACUUGUGGAAAGCCAAAGCUGAAUGAUCCAAUGACUUUGCGACGCUAAAGGGAGUUUAUGACAAACCCAUGUUACAACUGAAUAAAAUCCAGUUGCUUCCACUGGCCCCUCACCUUGUCUUGACUUCUAGGGGCUCCCUGUUCCCUGACCUCUCACUUCUCUGAGCCUCAAAUUCAUGGUUAGUUUGAUAGUUGGCUUUGAACUCCUGAUCCUACUUAUUUUUGUGCCAGGAUCUAUCUGUGUUGCUUCUCUCAGUUCUGGCUGCUCAGUCUGACUCACUGCAAUCCCACUGCAAUCAACGUGCCUGGUGUUUCACACUUUGACAUACUUCCCACGAGGAUGUGGCCCUACAAUAAGGAAAGAAUUUGCCCCAACACCCAUUGACCCAUACCAUGCAAUGCCUAUUGUUGUGGCUGAAUACAGAGGUUACCCAAUGACAUUCAGGUAAUUCUAGCAGCUACUAUUUAGGUUGAUUCACCAGAAAGUUCCAACAGGCCCUUUAAAACAUGAUAAGAUGGCAUGGGCUGUUCCAGUUACAUAAUGUUCCAGUUACAUUGGGUGGGAAGAUCUAAGUUAGAAUUAAUUACUGGUUCUUUCAGUCAUUAGCUGGGAACCAAUUUAAGGCAGCUUUAUGCUCAUACCUAUGUGCUGGAAGUUACAUAUUAAGACAAGCCUUGACUAUCAAGUUAAAUAAAUAUCAGGCUGAAGGAAAUUAAGGGUAUAUAUCAUGGCAUGUACCAUGGACAAGUAAACUAAGCAUUUUGACUGAAAUAAAAACAUACUUUUGCUAUCCCAGUCAAACUACAUGCUAAAUAGAUUGAGAAGAAGAAAAUAGCAUCGUACAAAUCUAUGGCUUGGAAACUGGAUUGGCAUCAACACAACUAAGGAAAUCCAAGCCAGAUUCGAGAUGUGCUGAAAACCAAAUUUCCUAAAGGCCUGGAAGACUUUGGCAUGUAGUACUGAGCUGUUAAAUUCUAGAGCGAUUUCAUUUGUGCCAGCUACUUACCAUCACCAGCAUCAAACUUGCAUAACUACACUACUGUUUUACUGCUGAAAAUGAACUUUUGUUGGCCUGAAUAUGUGCAGAGGGUAAAUGGCAAGAAGAGAUCUGAUCCGCUAUGGGGAAAGCUAAAGGGAAACAUUCGUAGGAGAAGCCUCCAGCAUAAAGAACUCCUCAAAGACAUUCAGCAGAACGAUUUCCGUGUACAAGAUAGCCAUUACCUGGCCUGAAACAACAGACUUAGCAGACUCACUUCAUAUGAGGCCCUCUGAAACAACAGUGAGGAACAAAGAUCUCCCAAAGAUCAUAAAGUGAAGAGUGAUGAUCACAGGCAGCAACAUGGGGAUAGAUAAUUGCUGCUCUCUGGUAUAAAAACACAACUUUCAAUACAAUGUUUGCAGUGGAUGCUGUUGUGAACCACCCAGAUGCCCCUUUCAAGGCUGAGGUGUUCUUUCUCUCAGCUGCCUGGUACUGGGGCUGCUGUCUGCUCACAGCCCAUUUCCUAACCCCCUGCUGAAGAGAGCUGCCUUUCCCAAGAUCAUGCCCCUUCCUGGGACAGCCCACAUCCUGGGGCUGUUGAUCAGGGGAUACAAAGGCCUGUCUCCCUUGUCUCUAAGAAACCCUAAGGGGCCAUCCCAAGUAGAUAGGUCCCCUGUAGGUGUGUGGGUGGCCUCUAUUAUAUCUGCCUCAGGUUCCCUCUCACUCUGCCCUUUUAUCCUGCUCCCCUCCUGCUCCAACAAGGAUUGUUCCUGAACAGUCCCCUCAGUAAACCUUUUGCAGGCAAAUCUCCAUCUCAAUCCCUUUCCCCAGGAAACCAACCUAAGACAUACCCAUCUGAUCCUAACACCACAUGGUGGAACAAACAUGAUCAACACAUGCUUGUUCCCGCCUUCCUUUCUCCUACUCCUCUAAAGAGGAGUCAGGCUUUGCCUAUUCCCUAUCUUGGCCUCCGGCCUCCUCCAAGUAGCAUCCUGCUUGGCAGAGUCUUGACAGAAGGAUAAAGGUGGUGGGGGCAAGGGUUAGUGUUGGCAAAGAGGCGCAGGAGAAGCUGUGGCAAAUAAAGAAACUGGGGUUGAAUGGGGAUUUUAAGAAAUACCGUUAUGCUCAACCCAACCCUUUCACGGCAUUCAAGCAAAAGAAGCACAGAGCUUGGAUUGUUGGGAAGUUAAUUUUUGUGACUGGACUGCCAUUCCACUCUGGGCUUGGGUGACAGUGGUCACAAUUUUUAAGCUUUUCCUGUGAAUAUAGGCAAUCUCAUCUUUAGAUGUCAGUGGCGAUGCCAGCAGAACUGUAUGUUUCAGGAGUGCUUUAAGAUGGGGCAUAGUUUUACUGUGUCUAAUCCACACUCUUUGAAUGCUAUGAAUUUAAGUCCACAAAAAUAGAAUUAUAGGUUUCAGGGCUUUAAACAAAAAUGUUUGUAACAAUAGAAAAAUAAUUAAACUAUUGUUUCAGCCUUUAUCACAAGAGACAUAUGAACAACUAACUAUUAACACAUUCUUCUGAAACAUCUACACAUGUCAGUCAUGUGCAUGUGGGAGCUAAGGACAAAGGGCAGCACACCCUAAUGGUAUAACUGUCUGUCAGAAUUUUAUGUGCAGAAGACAGUCUGUGACAGGCCUUUUAGAUUCUCUAAGUUACGAUUUUUGUUCUAAUUCCCAAUAUCACUGGCACACAAGUGGCAUCUCUGAGGAGUCUGGCCAGGCUGGAGUACACGCAAGAGCACCUGUGGAAAUGACAAGAAGGGGUCCCUCUCAUGUUAGGCCUUCUCAGCCCGGGACUACAUCCUAACUAGACUCUCUUGUUUGAGUUGCUUGUGAAUCACGGCAUCCUGAGUUACAGGAUGGAUUUUCUAUUUUCUUUCUUUUUUCUAUUGAGAAUUGCCAGCAGUUUUUCUUAAGAGUAGAAAAUUUCCAAGAACAAGCCUUAAGAAUACAAACAAGUAUUUUAAUGAUGCAUUUAGGACAAGUUUUCCAAACACAAUAUUUUCUUCGGGGUAUAGUUCCAAUAGCUGGUAGUGAUCAUGAGCUGUUAGCAAUCUAGGAAUCAGAGGCAGUUAUGUUCCAAAUCUACCAAGAUGCUCCAACCUGUCAUCCUUAGACAUGUACUUUCAAGGCCUAAGAGACAAGCUUUACUCUUGAGGAUCUCUGUUCUUGAGUUCAGUUGUUAAAUCCAGGGAUAAAAGACUAAUUGGGGAAACCCAAAACAAGAAGAUUAAGCAUCCUUCAGAGGAAAGGCUAGGGUGUGGUGGGUUGCCUAUGUCCCUUCUGUGUCCAGCCCAACACAGAGAGCUGUUGGGCUGUCCUGAAGCCAGUGCCAUUUCUGUCCUGUGCCAGUGCUCCUGGCAACCUUUGAAGGUGAUCAUCAGCAAUCAAUACC
Felis catus (domestic cat) is the source of this 6797-nucleotide long non-coding RNA. RefSeq lists it as uncharacterized. The transcript has 5 exons. The record is from RefSeq and is a predicted model, not a curated record. Lineage: Eukaryota; Metazoa; Chordata; Mammalia; Carnivora; Felidae.